This is a long non-coding RNA of Centruroides sculpturatus (bark scorpion), 591 nucleotides long. RefSeq lists it as uncharacterized. NCBI's taxonomy places the organism in Eukaryota, Metazoa, Arthropoda, Arachnida, Scorpiones, Buthidae. The record is from RefSeq and is a predicted model, not a curated record. The transcript is spliced from 4 exons.
CGAUAAAGAAAAGCCUGAGGAUGGCCUAUCCAAAUAGGCCGAAAACGUUUGAAUAAAGAGAAAAAAACUCGGCAAGUAGAAUUCAGAUAGAAAAUACGUUUCAAGACGUCAGACAAUUCGCAGGAUGUGAUAUUGGACUGAAAAUAAAGCUGAAGAUUUUAAAUUUUAUGAAAAGAUUUGGAAAAGUCUUUCUGUCUUUUUUAGUGGUAGAUAAGAGAAUUGUUUUUAAGAUGGCAAGAACACUACAUUCCAUUUUCUCCGGUUUCUUAAAACUAAAAACCGUUUCAAAUAAGAAAGAAAACUGUGAACAGAUUUAUAAAUUCAAUCACACGAAGUCAACUUAAACCUUUGCUACUGAUCGAUUUCCUAUUAAAAUAUAGUUGUUUCUCGUGCAAUACGGCACUUCUAGAAGACGGUUUCGUUCUAACAUAAUUUAGGAAUGUUGAAAUUCGAUACUUUUUUUUAUUUAAGUAAGAAUGUGUGUUAGCUUGAAUUUUUCUGCGGUUUUAAAGCCGUUAAGAUAUUCUAUGUGUUUUAUUUUUAUAGUUAAAUUAGCUGUUACCCGCGACUUCGUACGCGCAGGUUUUGAAA